CCCUAGCCCCGAUUGCAAUGAAAAUCCUUUUUUGCAAAAAAAGAUUGCAAUGUAAAGCGGGAAAUAGC
This 68-nucleotide small RNA is filed under the name Chryseobacterium indoltheticum. RNAcentral describes it as "Flavo-1 RNA". It matches the Rfam family "Flavo-1 RNA". The record is from RNAcentral. Lineage: Bacteria; Pseudomonadati; Bacteroidota; Flavobacteriia; Flavobacteriales; Weeksellaceae.